RNAcentral lists this ribosomal RNA (497 nucleotides) under uncultured bacterium. RNAcentral's name for it is "partial 16S ribosomal RNA". It matches the Rfam family "Bacterial small subunit ribosomal RNA", at positions 28 to 507 of the family's 1533-position model. The record is from RNAcentral.
GAUGAACGCUGGCGGCGUGCCUAAUACAUGCAAGUCGAGCGAACAGACGAGGAGCUUGCUCCUCUGACGUUAGCGGCGGACGGGUGAGUAACACGUGGAUAACCUACCUAUAAGACUGGGAUAACUUCGGGAAACCGGAGCUAAUACCGGAUAAUAUAUUGAACCGCAUGGUUCAAUAGUGAAAGACGGUUUUGCUGUCACUUAUAGAUGGAUCCGCGCCGCAUUAGCUGGUUGGUAAGGUAACAGCUUACCAAGGCAACGAUGCGCAGCCGACCUGAGAGGGUGAUCGGCCACACUGGAACUGAGACACGGUCCAGACUCCUACGGGAGGCAGCAGUAGGGAAUCUUCCGCAAUGGGCGAAAGCCUGACGGAGCAACGCCGCGUGAGUGAUGAAGGUCUUCGGAUCGUAAAACUCUGUUAUUAGGGAAGAACAAAUGUGUAAGUAACUAUGCACGUCUUGACGGUACCUAAUCAGAAAGCCACGGCUAACUACGUG